ACAGACUCCUACGGGAGGCAGCAGUGAGGAAUAUUGGUCAAUGGGCGAGAGCCUGAACCAGCCAAGUCGCGUGAGGGAAGACGGUCCUAUGGAUUGUAAACCUCUUUUGCCGGGGAGCAAAAAGCGGUACGUGUACCGCAUCGAGAGUACCCGGAGAAAAAGCAUCGGCUAACUCCGUGCCAGCAGCCGCGGUAAUACGGAGGAUGCGAGCGUUAUCCGGAUUUAUUGGGUUUAAAGGGUGCGCAGGCGGAGAGUUAAGUCGGGGGAAAAUUUGCGGGGCUAACCCCAGCAAAGCCGUUGAAACUGGCAGUCUCGAGUUGGAGAGAAGUAUGCGGAAUGCGCGGUGUAGCGGUGAAAUGCAUAGAUAUCGCGCAGAACUCCGAUUGCGAAGGCAGCAUGCCGGCUCCACACUGACGCUGAGGCACGAAAGCGUGGGAAUCGAACAGGAUUAGAUACCCCUGUA
Molecule: ribosomal RNA, 463 nt
Filed under: uncultured bacterium
Lineage: Bacteria
Description: bacterial SSU rRNA
Rfam family: Bacterial small subunit ribosomal RNA
Source: RNAcentral